UGCCCGGAGAAGAGUGGGAGUCAAAUAACAAAGAAGUUGAUAUAUUGCGCCGAUCAUAGAAGGUUCGACAGCCAAGAGGUUGAUUAUAACUAUGUCAUGGUCAUUAACAAAGGACAGAAAAGCAUCGAAUAUGUUUCGGUAAAUCUAGUAUACAUGGAUGGGGACCCUUUGCUCGAAGAAAUAUUCAGGAAGGAGAAAUGGUACCUUCUUCUGAAAACUACCUCAUUAUUUGCAUGUUAUGCUUUAGUUGGACGGAAAUGCUGUAUUUGUCAUUAUACUUUUCAUUUAUUCUUGGAAAUGGAGGACAUGAUAAAAAGAGACAAGUACAGCGAUUUAUAUU
Eucalyptus grandis is the source of this 340-nucleotide long non-coding RNA. RefSeq lists it as uncharacterized. Lineage: Eukaryota; Viridiplantae; Streptophyta; Magnoliopsida; Myrtales; Myrtaceae. The transcript has 3 exons. The record is from RefSeq and is a predicted model, not a curated record.